CACGUAGGGUGCGAGCGUUGUCCGGAAUUAUUGGGCGUAAAGAGCUCGUAGGCGGUGUGUCGCGUCGGCCGUGAAAACCUGCAGCUUAACUGUGGGCUUGCGGUCGAUACGGGCAUCACUGGAGUUCGGCAGGGGAGACUGGAAUUCCUGGUGUAGCGGUGAAAUGCGCAGAUAUCAGGAGGAACACCGGUGGCGAAGGCAGGUCUCUGGGCCGAUACUGACGCUGAGGAGCGAAAGCGUGGGGAGCGAACAGG
RNAcentral lists this ribosomal RNA (254 nucleotides) under uncultured bacterium. RNAcentral's name for it is "partial 16S ribosomal RNA". It matches the Rfam family "Bacterial small subunit ribosomal RNA", at positions 524 to 776 of the family's 1533-position model. The record is from RNAcentral.